AUUACAACUGUAAGGACCUUCCUCUCCAACCCUAACCCUACCCCUAGACUUUCUAUUGGAUUAAUACACGUUUUCAAGACCAGAACAUGUGUGGUCAUGUAGCUCUACGGGUUACGCCUGUGAUGUUCAGGACUCAUUCUUGUAUUUUACACUCUCUGAUGUUUUCUUUUCUUCAUGUCUAGUGUGUGAAUCAUUUCUGGUUUGUCUCUUCAGUGUCUCAUGUGGCCCUGCAGCUUCUCCUCCUCCACCUCCUCCUGAAGCCUUCAUCUUCUUCAUCAUCAGCUGCUCAGUGACUCUGUUGGACGUCUCACCGUGUGGCAGCAGCUCAGGAGUUUGCAGUCAACCAAGGCCGACUCAGAAUCACUCCCACCGGGAAGAUCUGUGAAGGAAGGUCCACCCUGGCUGGUCCAGAAGCUCCGGUCCAGCAGAGCAGCGUCAGGAUGGAGACGUAACCGGGAUCCAGUCCAGUCCAGUGACACUCCACUCCACUCCACUAUCACCCUCCACAAGGUUCCCAGCGGGGAUUCGAACCAUGCCCAUCCACAUGACAGACACACACCCUCUGUGUGAGCUAUCUGUCACACAAGGUCCCUGGUGGAGUUUGUUGUAAUGAUGGUUGCAAGAGGUUGUCAUGCAGCCAAAGUGUAAAAAGAGCCUUGAGCUGGAUUCCAACCAAGGACCUCCUGGAUGAGAGGCAGAUAACUUACCACUGCACUAUCCUUCCUACUGGGUGUAGCUGUUAGUUUUCGUAAAUGAUGGUACACAAAAGUAUUAAGGAAGUGAAGAUAAUAAAGGUACUAAGGUACCGGGGAGGCAAAAAACUUACCUCUACACCACCUGUCCUACAAUAUGUUGCUCUAACUUUGCUUAAAUGAUGCUAUCAAUUAGUACUGGCGCAACCAAACGACAAAUAAAAGGUGUGAGUGGAGAUCUGAAUCAUGUGAGGUUUGUUUCUGAGACUGAAUACACCCAAUCUCAUCUGAUCUGCAAAGCUAAGCAGGGUUGGGCCUGGUUAGUAUUUGGAUGGGAGACUACCUGGGAAUACCAGGUGCUGUAAGCUUUUUACUUCUCCUCACAACCUGAAGAACACACUGCUAGCGACAGCUAUCAACUAAAACCUCUUGGUUUCUUUAUUAUACACUCUAUGAGGUGGAUAAGCUGCAGCUCAUGCUGAUUUAUUGCUGCUUCUGGUUGGAGCCAAAGAACAAAGGCUUCACCUGUUGGAGCAGCUGAUGUCCUGCAGCCUCUUCACCACAGAAAGCCUCUGACAGCUUCAAUUCUUUACACUCUGACUGCAAGACACCAAUCACAUAGGAACAUUUACAUGUAUGGAACAAAGAGCUGAGCUGACACUCAACAUAUGUUUGAGCAUUUAUUGAUAAAGACAUUCAAACAUGUCUAGAGAUAGAACACCAACGCACGGUGUAAGAAAGGUCAGAACAGACUUCACCUGCUCAGGAAACUGAGGUCCUUCGGGGUGCAGGGAGCAAUUCUGAGGACCUUUUAUGGUUGUGUGGUGGUAUCAGCCAUCCUGUAUGGACUGGUCUGCUGGAGCAGCAGCAUCACGGCUGCAGACAGGAAGAGACUAAAGAAACUGGUUAAGAAAGCAAGCUCUGUCCUGGGCUGGUGGUAGACAGGAGGAUGAUGACAAAGCUGUUGUCUAUCAUGGAGGACAUCUCCCACCCCCUGCAGGAAACAGGACCAUCACCGGCAGCUCCUUCAGGGACAGACUGCUUCACCCACGAUGUUUGAAGGAGGUCCUUCCUUCCUGCAGCAGUCAGACUGUGUUCAAUCAAGCCUGCUCCCAGUAGUUCAGAUCACCCAUGAAGUAACUGCAAUAAAAUGUAAAUAAGUCAAUAUGUGCAAUUUCACAGGGUUUUUUUUUUUUUUACAAGCAUUUCUAUUUCUUCUCUAAGGAGAAAGCAUCUAUUUAUAUCUGUGCACUGAGUGCUGCUUUUCUUUUUUUUUUUUUACUUUUUUUCCUAUCUGCUACUGCCACACUGAAAAUUUCCCCACUGCAGGAUCUACCUAUCCAUCCAUCUAUCUAUGGUCCAUCUACCUCCCUACCUAUCUAUCCAUCCAUCCAUCCAUCCAUCCAUCCAUCCAUCCAUCCAUCCAUCCAUCUAUCUAUCCAUCCAUCCAUCCAUCCAUCCAUCCAUCUCUCUCACAGGUGUGGGGGUUGAUUCACCUGUUCUCAAUCACCUUAAUCCACGAAGGCCCGGUUCUUCAUUCUUCCGCUCUCUGCCAGACCACAGACUUUGAAACCAGAACCUUUCUCCUACAAUUAGUCUGGUUUCCCCUUUUUGUUUUCACCUUGGUUUAGUUAUCCUUUCUGUGUUGGUUUUAGUUUCAUUCGUUAAAUAAACUCCUUGUAAUCUUUGA
Molecule: long non-coding RNA, 2382 nt
Organism: Amphiprion ocellaris (clown anemonefish)
Lineage: Eukaryota; Metazoa; Chordata; Actinopteri; Pomacentridae
Exons: 3
Source: RefSeq, a predicted model, not a curated record